UACGAAGGGUGCUAGCGUUAUUCGGAAUAAUUGGGCGUAAAGGGUGCGUAGACGGCAUAUUAAGUCAACUGUUAAAUUCUCCGGCCUAACUGGGGGUCAGCGGUAGAAACUGAUGUGCUAGAGGAUGAAAGAGAGAAGUGGAAUUCUCGGAGUAGCGGUAAAAUGCGUAGAUCUCGAGAGGAACACCGAUGGCGAAGGCAGCUUCUUGGUUCAUUCCUGACGUUGAGGCACGAAAGCGUGGGGAGCAAACAGG
Molecule: ribosomal RNA, 253 nt
Filed under: uncultured bacterium
Lineage: Bacteria
Description: partial 16S ribosomal RNA
Rfam family: Bacterial small subunit ribosomal RNA
Source: RNAcentral